CAUGGAACAUGUUUGGACAACCCCCUGCUGCCUAUUUGCUCCUGGGCUGGGGGGAGCAGCCUGGGGCUCAGUCCCUCCCCAAAGGCAGUUUUCUGCUUUGCUCAUCUCCAUGCCUGAAGGUCACAGCUGGAGAGUUUCUUUUUCUUCUGGAGAUCACAGGGGUGAAGGAAACUGCACAAGAAGCCUUCAGACGCAAGCCCUGUAUUUUGUACCAGAGUUGCUCUAACCAUUCCUUCUAUCUCUGUCCCCUGUUCCUAUUUCCAAUCCCCUCACUUGCAUUCAUGUGUUUAAUGUACUUUAUUUUGUUUUCUGUUGUUUUUCUAUAUAAUUGUGAAAUGCCUCAGUUAAUUUGUACUCCUGCACUUUUAACCAUGGUUCCUGGAUGCAAGCACAGAACCUGAUUCUCACUUAUGCAGAAAAGGAGGGGACUGAAGACCAUCAGAUAAGAGCACAUAACCUGAGUCUUCUACACAUAAUCUGAAAUUGAGGGAUUCUAUCAAGAGAAAGCUUCAUGGGCGUGAGAGUAACACAGAUCAUGCCCGAAAUCACUUCACAUCCAGUUCGAACACUUCAAAAGUGGAAAGAAAAUACUUAAAAAUUCAAAAUAUUUUUUAAAAGGCUGAGGCAGACGGGAGUAUGGUGUGAAAACCAAACUCUGUAGCAGAAAGGCUGGAUUCCAUCACCUCGGAUCAGCACUCACCUUCCUUAAGUCUCAUUUCUUCACCACUAAUUUGGCUUUUCAAGACCUUAAGUUAUUAAAGUUGAAUAUUUCCUUUUCAGCAAA
Molecule: long non-coding RNA, 784 nt
Organism: Mustela erminea (ermine)
Lineage: Eukaryota; Metazoa; Chordata; Mammalia; Carnivora; Mustelidae
Exons: 3
Source: RefSeq, a predicted model, not a curated record